CAAGCUGUUUUGUUUUAAAUGUGUUAUUGUGUUAGUAAUAAAUUAUUGCUAAUAAUUGUUAUAUGGCAGCCUCAAACUCGGCUGCUCCCCAAACUUCGUUUACGGGCAACUUAACCUUCACUAUUGAAGAAAGUGACGUCAGAAUUAAUUUCUUCAAAGACGCGGCUGAAGUUGUUGAGGUUCGUUUUGCAAUAAGGGAUGAUCGAUUUGCAGGCUAAGUGCAUGUUGACUUUGUUACUCGUGAGGCUGCCCAAGAGGCUCUUGAAGUUAAUGGUGAACCAUUGCUUGACCAUCCACUAAAACUUGAUUUAGUUAAGUAAAAAGUAAAUACACUCUCGGUACCAGGUAUGAUUCUUUGCCAUCAAGUGUUUUAACACCCAGUUAGAUUCUAACCGACAUUUGACUGAGAAUUCAUAUUUGUUUCUGGAGCAAUGAGAGAUCUUUCCAAAAGAGUGCGCAGACUUCAGCACUAACUGCGUUUAUAAGUGGAAUACUCUUGGGAAACUCUUUGGCCAAUGUGAAGAGGUUUCAAGGAUUUUUCUUCCUAAAGAUUUUGAGUCACGUGAGACAAAAAGAUACGGCAUGAGAGUUAGCUGUUGGUUACAAGUUUACUCCCCACCAUGACAACAGCAAGGGGCAUGAGAAUUAGCCGUUGGUUGCAAGUUUACUCCUCACCGUGACAACAAGGUGGCCAGUUACAAAUUUGCAGCAUUUAAAUGCAGUGAGUGUAUGGACUUGAUGAAAACAACCUAGAAAUAGUUUU
This is a long non-coding RNA of Helianthus annuus (common sunflower), 763 nucleotides long. RefSeq lists it as uncharacterized. Lineage: Eukaryota; Viridiplantae; Streptophyta; Magnoliopsida; Asterales; Asteraceae. The transcript is spliced from 4 exons. The record is from RefSeq and is a predicted model, not a curated record.